Molecule: ribosomal RNA, 283 nt
Filed under: Klebsiella pneumoniae
Lineage: Bacteria; Pseudomonadati; Pseudomonadota; Gammaproteobacteria; Enterobacterales; Enterobacteriaceae
Description: partial 16S ribosomal RNA
Rfam family: Bacterial small subunit ribosomal RNA
Source: RNAcentral
AAACGAUGUCGAUUUGGAGGUUGUGCCCUUGAUGCGUGGCUUCCGGAGCUAAAGCGUUAAAUCGACCGCCUGGGGAGUACGGCCGCAAGGUUAAAACUCAAAUGAAUUGACGGUGGCCCGCACAAGCGGUGGAGCAUGUGGUUUAAUUCGAUGCAACGCGAAGAACCUUACCUGGUCUUGACAUCCACAGAACUUUCCAUAGAUGGAUUGGUGCCUUCGGGAACUGUGAGACAGGUGCUGCAUGGCUGUCGUCAGCUCGUGUUGUGAAAUGUUGUGUUAAGUC